UACGUAGGGGGCAAGCGUUGUCCGGAAUCAUUGGGCGUAAAGCGCGCGUAGGUGGCUUCGUAAGUCCGUUGUGAAAGUCAAAGGCUCAACCUUUGAAAGCCGAUGGAUACUGUGAAGCUAGAGUACGGAAGAGGCGAGUGGAAUUCCUGGUGUAGCGGUGGAAUGCGCAGAUAUCAGGAGGAACACCAAUAGCGAAGGCAGCUCGCUGGGACGUUACUGACACUGAGGCGCGAAAGCGUGGGGAGCAAACAGG
This 253-nucleotide ribosomal RNA is filed under the name uncultured bacterium. RNAcentral's name for it is "partial 16S ribosomal RNA". It matches the Rfam family "Bacterial small subunit ribosomal RNA", at positions 524 to 776 of the family's 1533-position model. The record is from RNAcentral.